CUGCCCAAUGACAACAUAGUUCAAUGGCCGCGGUACCCUGACCGUGCAAAGGUAGCAUAAUCACUUGCCCCUUAAUUAGGGGCUGGCAUGAAAGGACACACGAAAGCUUCCCUGUCUCACAAUAACAAAUAAAAAUUAAUCUUCAAGUGAAAAAGCUUGAAUAAAAUUGCAGGACAAGAAGACCCCGUUGAGCUUUAUUCUCUAUAGACUAAAUCAAAUAUUAAAUACAUCAUAAACCUAAAAAGAAUUUAGUUGGGGUGACUAAGGAACACCGAAAACUUCCUUUUAUUAAUUAGGAUCAUUCUCCAUACAAAUUGACCCAUUACACAUGAUCAAAAAAAUAAGCUACCACAGGGAUAACAGGCUAAUCUUUCUCAAGAGCCCAAAUUGUCAGAAAGGAUUGGCACCUCGAUGUUGGCUUAGGGGCCCCUAAUGGUGCAGAAGCCAUAAAUGGUAGGUUUGUUCAACCUUUAAAACCCUACGUGAUCUGAGUU
This 494-nucleotide ribosomal RNA is filed under the name Lamellibrachia anaximandri. Its description in RNAcentral is "partial 16S ribosomal RNA". It matches the Rfam family "Bacterial large subunit ribosomal RNA", at positions 1859 to 2611 of the family's 2925-position model. Lineage: Eukaryota; Metazoa; Annelida; Polychaeta; Sabellida; Siboglinidae. The record is from RNAcentral.